GUAGGUGGCAAGCGUUGUCCGGAAUUAUUGGGCGUAAAGCGCGCGCAGGCGGUUCUUUAAGUCUGAUGUGAAAGCCCACGGCUCAACCGUGGAGGGUCAUUGGAAACUGGAGAACUUGAGUACAGAAGAGAAAAGCGGAAUUCCACGUGUAGCGGUGAAAUGCGUAGAGAUGUGGAGGAACACCAGUGGCGAAGGCGGCUUUCUGGUCUGUAACUGACGCUGAGGCGCGAAAGCGUGGGGAGCAAACAGGGAUUAGAUACCCUGGUAGUCCACGCCGUAAACGAUGAGUGCUAAGUGUUAGGGGGGUUUCCGCCCCCUUAGUGCUGCAGCUAACGCAUUAAGCACUCGCCUGGGGAUACGGCCGCAAGGCUG
This 372-nucleotide ribosomal RNA is filed under the name uncultured organism. RNAcentral's name for it is "partial 16S ribosomal RNA". It matches the Rfam family "Bacterial small subunit ribosomal RNA", at positions 527 to 896 of the family's 1533-position model. The record is from RNAcentral.